AUUGAACGCUGGCGGCAGGCCUAACACAUGCAAGUCGAGCGGCAGCGGGAAAGUAGCUUGCUACUUUUGCCGGCGAGCGGCGGACGGGUGAGUAAUGCCUGGGAAAUUGCCCAGUCGAGGGGGAUAACAGUUGGAAACGACUGCUAAUACCGCAUACGCCCUAAGGGGGAAAGCAGGGGACCUUCGGGCCUUGCGCGAUUGGAUAUGCCCAGGUGGGAUUAGCUAGUUGGUGAGGUAAUGUCUCACCAAGGCGACGAUCCCUAGCUGGUCUGAGAGGAUGAUCAGCCACACUGGAACUGAGACACGGUCCAGACUCCUACGGGAGGCAGCAGUGGGGAAUAUUGCACAAUGGGGGAAACCCUGAUGCAGCCAUGCCGCGUGUGUGAAGAAGGCCUUCGGGUUGUAAAGCACUUUCAGCGAGGAGGAAAGGUUGAUGCCUAAUACGUAUCAACUGUGACGUUACUCGCAGAAGAAGCACCGGCUAACUCCGUGCCAGCCGCCGCGGUAA
RNAcentral lists this ribosomal RNA (508 nucleotides) under uncultured bacterium. Its description in RNAcentral is "partial 16S ribosomal RNA". It matches the Rfam family "Bacterial small subunit ribosomal RNA", at positions 30 to 523 of the family's 1533-position model. The record is from RNAcentral.